AGAGGAGGGAGUUGCUGCAUAAGCUUCUCCUCAUUUAAAAAAAAAAAAAAAUCGGACGGGAGCGCCGAUGGAUCGGAGACCAGGGGGGGUUUCUAGGUACUCGGAAACCCCCCAUGCGUGCGCGUAUGAAAGGGAAUGCCUUGUUAUAUCCUUCCUCAUGAAAGUAACAUGGAAAGCUAGAGAAGAAGCUGGCCAGCCCAUCCAGCUAAGUGUUUUCAGGGAAUUUCAAAGAGCUUCUACUCAGUGGGAAAGAGACUUCUAUAUAUAGGAUCUCCGGAUGGAAUUUUCGAAUCACAUUACAUAUGCUGCCCGCCUCCCACCGCUGACCAGCGCUCACUUCUGCACGCUGCACCGCCAUUGAAAGCUGACCACCGCAGACCACAACUGGCGGUGGUCAGAGGGACAUCAACGCCGCAGCGAAGAAGGACAGCUUAGUACCGCCGCAUCCCCCGCAGACCAUGGGCUCAUACGCCACCAACAACCACAGUCCCUUCCGCACCUCCGCUGCACA
Pseudophryne corroboree (corroboree frog) is the source of this 511-nucleotide long non-coding RNA. RefSeq lists it as uncharacterized. NCBI's taxonomy places the organism in Eukaryota, Metazoa, Chordata, Amphibia, Anura, Myobatrachidae. The transcript has 3 exons. The record is from RefSeq and is a predicted model, not a curated record.